RNAcentral lists this long non-coding RNA (4179 nucleotides) under Triticum aestivum (bread wheat). RNAcentral describes it as "long non-coding RNA (TAES_LNC010115)". The stretch from base 3441 to 3555 matches the Rfam family "MIR1120/MIR1122 microRNA precursor family". Lineage: Eukaryota; Viridiplantae; Streptophyta; Magnoliopsida; Poales; Poaceae. The record is from RNAcentral.
AACACGAUCGGGGCGACGGCGCAUCUUUAGGAGACGAUCGGUAUGAGAGGAGAGGGGAGGAGAAGGAGAGGUCUGGCGGCGGCUAAAGAGGUGCUCGCCGGCGCGCACAGUUGGAUCGGGGCGCUUCCACCGCGACGCCCCCAUCCCAAAAGAUCCGGCGCUCCCCGCCGCCUGCCCACCUACCCACGCGACGCUACCACUCCCCUCCACCUCCCCACGCGACGCCGCCAGCCCCAAGGGUGCCCACCCCGUCGCCCGGUCGCUGCACCAGCGCCUCCCGGUCGCCCUCGCCGGCCCUCCCCGCCGGCCCCACGUCGUACCCGUCGUCUCCUCAAUCCGUAGCCAGGGGACACGCCAGCGCCCUCCCAGUGGCCCUCGCCGUCCCUCCCCGCCGUCUCCCCAAUCCACAGCCAGGGGACACGCCAAGAACCUUCAGUCAUGAGGCCGUCGCGCGGGAGGUCUUCCAUCUCAGUUUUGUUUUAUUUACGGUAUUUCCCCAAUGAUGUGCUACUUCAACUUUUGUUCCAGUGCUCCUCAAAUUGAUGUAACUAAGAGAAUGUCCUGGAUCACGGUGUUAGAUUCUGAAGUUUAUCGUCAUCUACCCAUCGUUCUGGGUUUCAUUUGUAAUUUUUCAGCGAUGCACAAGUUUAUAGUCAUCAGGCAGUCCUUAAUUUUAAGAUGAUAUCAACAUUUAUAUUCUUGAUUACAGGGUGUUGUCAACAAUUUCAUCACACCCACUGCUUGACCACAGAGGUAGUUGCCGCCUGCAGCCAUUCACAUGCCGUCACCUGCAUCUCCUCUGUGCGUUCCCGUCUCUCCAUGCCGCACGAGGAUGCAGUCAUCACAUCCUUGAGUAGGUAAUUUAUCAAUUGAUAGCUUUUCUCCCUGCUAUGACUUGCAUCUUUCUACCUUGCUUCAAAUUUAAUUUGAUUGGGGUCUGUUUGAUUCAAUGUCAAAUGAAGAUCAACUUUAUCUCUGAUUGAUUCAUGCAAGUGGAAGCUGAAUUAUAUUCUGAAGAUUCUGAUUAUUACUUGCAAGUUAUAUUCUAACACAUUGUCCUUGGUUUAACAACUUGCAAGUGUUUCUUGUAGUGGUUUUAACCCCAUAAUAAAGGACUUGCAGGUGGACAUCUGCUAUAAAUAAUCAGGUACUUCUUUCUCAUUAUCAAAUUCAAAUGCUCAGUGAAACUAUCCAAUGGAUGAACUGGUUGUUUAACACUGAAUCAUCAACACUUUAUUCUCUUCUUUUCUCCUCUUCCAUUCACCGCAACAUCUGCAGUGCAUGCUUGUUACUUAUCUCUUCUCUGAGUGCUUGAACAUAAAUACUGAGAAAACCAAAUUCUCUAUGGGCAUGAAUAAUCUUUCGAUUCAUACGUAAAAAUCAAAAUGUGGUUCCAGAGGUCGGGGGUAAUCCUCCUUUUCUAAAAAAAAAAGUUCCGGGAGGUAUGGCGUGAUUUCUCUGCUGGUAUGUGUGUGUGUUGCUUGUUUGUCUGCUGCCGGGAGGAUUGCACAGUGCCGAUGCCGGGAGCCAGGGGUCAUCGGAAAAUUGAGAUGCCGAAGUCGAUCACUCAAAACGAGCCUUACUUGGCAGUGACUGAAUCCUCCACAAAUUAUUUGAUGACAUUGAGCCUUGCUUGGCAUUGACUGAAUCCAACAGUGGCGAGCUUGUAUCCCAGACAACCUCUUCGUCUUGAUUUUUUAGAAGCUAACUCACUUCAAAAGGAGGCCUGGAUUACCUUAUAUUCAGCAUUGGUCACAUAGAAUAGAUUUUUUUUAUGAUGAAGAAGUUUGACAGGAACCUAUCCGAGAAUCAUGCUGGUUUGUGCACUGCAGUUUGCACGAGGUUCAGACGUGUGGCCAGCUGGGCACCGCCUAUAUAUCUAAACCUGAAAAAGCUUACUAUAUAGAUUGGCAGAAUAAAAUAAAAUUCAUAAAUCACUUUAGUUUUCACUAAUGCAGCUAGGGCCAGCACCCACUAUCAAAAGAGACAGCCUCAACAACGGACAGGGUGGCGGAGUAGUCACAUUCCCACCAUACAUAUACUACUAGCUAUACUUCUGGAGCAAAUUCUUUGUCGUAGUCAUCAGGCUGCGGAUGUCGUUGCCGGGAUACACGCUCUCCAAGGUCUCCGGCCAUAUAGGCCCAUGAGGGAUGCAGGGCAUGUUACUCUAUGCAGCAUCAUGACCACAAUGGUGUCUUGGUUUUGAAAAUACUAUUUGAAUGGCAUCACAACAUUUAGUACACACUUUUUCGCAACAGUUGCUUUAUUUUUAUACCAUGUGAAUCUCCCUUGGUCAGCACCUGAGACGUGCGUUACACAUGGUCAAUUUUUCAUGAUUUAUUGUUGUUGCUGUUUCCCACAAGGUACUUGAUAAAAAUGAUUGGCGUGUGGCGCUCUUCAAUGACUUGUUCUCUUUUGAAGAGCAAGCAGAGAGAGCAUGAGAGCGCCGUGAUUCUCCAAAUUCCUGCUCACUUCUAUAUCCAUAUAUUUGUUUUAUCUGGUUUUUUGGACUUAUUUUAUUAUCUUGUGUGCUACAUAAGAGGUGUCUUUGUGGAGCUUAAGAACAAUUUAUUUGGUUGGAGCAAACUAAUAUUGUAUUGCAAAGGGCCGGACAGCCAACCAGCUACAAAGGGACUGCCCAAUUUUAUCCAUGUGUUGGACUAGAUGAUAUUUGAUGAUUUGAACCUUGCAAUGAUAGGGUUUCCACAACACUAUGUAUGAUCUAAACAAUGGCUGGAAAUAUUUAUUGGAGCAUUUAUUUCAAACAACUUUGUUAAAAGAUAUUUCUAAUAUUUUAGUGGAUGCGAUAUAUUUUAGAUAGUAGUACUGCUUUAAUGUGGUGUGGUACAGAGUUUGCCUUCUGUUAUAAACUUCACACGCUUUGAAAGCAAGAUCAUGUUGUACAGGCGUGCAGUUGUGAGAAAUACAGUGGAUGGCUCCAUAUGAGUUCUCUAGCCCUCUAGAAUUAUGGAGUCAGGUGCAGACUCCGCUGAUGACGACGAUGGUUCGGUAGAGAUAGGCUUGCUCUGUAUUACAUAACUAUGUUCUGUUAGUCAAGUGUCAUUCUGAUGCAGGAGGCAGACGCUUCAAAAUCAUCUGCGGAGUAAGCGAUAGGAGGCCGUUGUGCAACAAAAGGUCAUGUAUAGACCAAUGCCGUUGGUACAAAAUCUCGAUCACAGCGUCCCAUAUCGUGAUCGCACAUCAGAGCUAGCCUACCAAUGUCAGAUGGCAUCGGUUUUACUACAGGGAUGUGGGUCAUCGGCCAUGACAAAAGAUGGUAUACAAAUAUUAUGGAUAAAAGAUGGCAGCAUAAACUUUGCAAUUUUAUGAUAUGUUAUCUGGAAGAUUUUUGCCAUGCGGUGGUCCAAUGAUUCUGGCUAUAUGCACUGGAGUUUAAUCCAUGUAUGUGAACUAAUUAGAUAUCUAUCUGUGUGAAUUUGGAGAUACUCCCUCCGUUCGGAAUUACUUGUCGUAGAAAUGGAUGUAUCUAGAUGUAUUUUAGUUCUAGAUAUAUCCAUUUCUGAGACAAGUAAUUCCGAACGGAGGAAGUAUGUGUUUGAGAUGAUUUGAGAGUUAAACAAACUUUAAGUGAGGAUCUUUAUAGGUGAGUCCCUAUACAUACAUUGAUGGGAAAUAUUUUAGGGGAUCUAUGAGAGUUUCUCUAAUUGCGGUUCAUAAUUCCUCGGAAGUCCUCCGAGCCAUACCUGUUUACGGUAAACAACAUAUUUUGUUACUCUUUUAGUUAUCUUUUAAUAAAUUUUCUUUAUUAAAUUCAACUUCAUCACUAAACCAAGUUCUGCUCAUGACAGCCACACGACAAGAGCCGGCAAGGAGGUAGAGUUCACGAAGUACAUGUUUGACCGCGACAACUCCCAAGCAUGUGUAUCCGUACCUGAUGACGAGGUGACCAGGUGAAUACCACUCAUGAGAUGUGCGAACUUGGGAUGAGGAUAAGUAGAACACAUAUUAGUCGCAAGCGGGCGCAAGAAUUUUGUUUCCGUUGCAACUCACGACCACAUUUACUUGAUUAAACAUAAAUAGAAUAUUUUUAUAUUUGAGAGACGUGCACAUACUUACUAGUUAGUCUUAAACAUGAUAAUUGUUAGGAUUUAAUUAAUCCUAUUAAUCCCUACUUUUCCUAAAGGAGGCGGUUACCUCAUGUCCCUUCGGAAACAGUCC